UACGUAGGGUGCGAGCGUUGUCCGGAAUUAUUGGGCGUAAAGAGCUCGUAGGCGGCCUGUCGCGUCGGAUGUGAAAGCCCGGGGCUUAACCCCGGGUCUGCAUUCGAUACGGGCAGGCUAGAGUUCGGUAGGGGAGAUCGGAAUUCCUGGUGUAGCGGUGAAAUGCGCAGAUAUCAGGAGGAACACCGGUGGCGAAGGCGGGUCUCUGGGCAGUAACUGACGCUGAGGAGCGAAAGCGUGGGGAGCGAACAGG
RNAcentral lists this ribosomal RNA (253 nucleotides) under uncultured bacterium. Its description in RNAcentral is "partial 16S ribosomal RNA". It matches the Rfam family "Bacterial small subunit ribosomal RNA", at positions 524 to 776 of the family's 1533-position model. The record is from RNAcentral.